UUAAGGAGAUAAUAAAAUUUACAAAGUGAUAAAGUCAUUUAUUAUACAAAGGAGAGAAAUAUGUUAAAAAUUGUCAAAUUUAUUUAUGCUAUAUUUAUCUUUUAUUUCAUAAUUUUAGUUCCAACGAACGUAAAUGGUAAGCCAUUUUUUAUUUUUUAAAUUCUAUAAUUUACUUCUUACACACAGUAUAUUAUCCUAUUUUUAUUACAUUUUUUUUUUCUCAAAUUACAACAGGCUAUACCUGCAGAACACAUUAUGAGUGUCUAAACAAGCGUUGUAUCAAGCCUGAAGGACCGAGGUGUGUCAAUGGCCAUUGUAAAUGUGCUUAACUGAUAUUGCACAUAGGUCCUGUACCCAAAUAAUUUAUAUUUAGCGUAUGUUUGGUUUUGUGAAAAGAAAGUGGAAGGAAAAAAAUUAUGAUCAUCGAUGGAUGAACUUAGACUAACUCUAAUUCAAGUUCAUUUAUCGGUUUUCGUAAUUUUCUUUCCUUCUACUUUCUUUCAUUCAAAGUGUACUCCUAUGAAUGUCUUGCUAGAAUAUUCUAUGGGUGUACGUCAUUUAUUUAUUGCGUUGGUAUCAAAUAAUUAAUGUUUUCUCUACUUUUUUCUAAUUUCAAGAACCUUGU
Molecule: long non-coding RNA, 625 nt
Filed under: Trifolium pratense (red clover)
Lineage: Eukaryota; Viridiplantae; Streptophyta; Magnoliopsida; Fabales; Fabaceae
Description: long non-coding RNA (TPRA_LNC001384)
Source: RNAcentral